RNAcentral lists this long non-coding RNA (4178 nucleotides) under Macaca mulatta (Rhesus monkey). RNAcentral describes it as "lncRNA (ENSMMUG00000055040.1)". The record is from RNAcentral. Lineage: Eukaryota; Metazoa; Chordata; Mammalia; Primates; Cercopithecidae.
ACUUGAAGUACCCUGCAGACAUUUCACUGGAGCCAGUUGUUGACCUCUUAUUUCUAUCAGAUUAGUCUAACCUCUUUGUGUAUUUUCCGCUUAGAGGAGGAAAACAAUAUUGUUUUCACUGAAAAUAUCAGUUGCUUUUUUUUCUUCUUCUUCUUUUUUUUGAGACGGAGUCUCACUCUGUCGCCCAGGCUGGAGUGCAGUGGCCGGAUCUCAGCUCACUGCAAGCUCCGCCUCCCGGGUUUACGCCAUUCUCCUGCCUCAGCCUCCCGAGUAGCUGGGACUACAGGCGCCCGCCACUUCGCCCGGCUAGUUUUUUGUAUUUUUUAGUAGAGACGGGGUUUCACCGUGUUAGCCAGGAUAGUCUCGAUCUCCUGACCUCGUGAUCCACCCGUCUCGGCCUCCCAAAGUGCUGGGAUUACAGGCUUGAGCCACCGCGCCCGGCCUUUUUCUUCUUCUUCUUAGAACCCCUUGUCGUUUAUUGCAUAAACAGAAACACAGAUUGCUCACUCUGAUCUGACCCUUGCACUUCUCUUUCCAUUUAAAGAAGAGCUUUACAUUGGUGAUCGACAGAAUAAUUUCUCUCCGUAUAUGUCCCUUUAGUAGUAUGUGUUAGGACUUUGUUGAACCAAACAGAUUUUUCACACAAUUUUGGAUCUCCCUUCCUUGUUAGAAAUACAGAAACAAUGAAAAAUGUGCCUUUUCCCAAGGAAAAACUCUUCACUCCAUUAUGGGGCUUUCUUUCCUUCUGACCUGGGUGUCCUGUCAUCUGGCUUAAUAUUUUCCUCAUGUGUCCCUGUCUUGCAUAUUGAAACACAACAUUUUAAUUGUAUGCGGCUGAAUUAAUGAGACUUUAUUGAAAGUUUAACAUGGUAAUUUGAGUACCGAAUGCUACAAAAACAUAUUUAUUUUCCAAGCAACGCUUCUUUAUCUUUUUCCCAAAGGGGAAGAUGUAUUUCUCUCAGUAUGCUUUACCCUGCCCCAGAUUGUAAUAUUUUUCAUUUUGGGGACCCUCCACCUGUGUCUCUUUCUGGGGUUUCCAGGAAACGUAAGGAAGGAGUCAGCCUUUUAAUCAGCCAGAGUGGGGAGGAUGUAAUUCCCCACAGGUCCUCUGACUGUUGGACGGCUGAGAGUGUCUCUGCUAUGCUAAUAUUUUACAACAAGGUGAAACUUAAGAGGAGAAUCCUUCCAUAAAUGGCAUGGUGAUAUUUAGGAUUUGGAAUACUGUGGCAUGUGCCCGAACUGGCAAGAAAGGAAGAAAAAAAGAUGGGAGUUAAAGGAGAAAGCCAAGACCGAUUGAAUUCAGAUCAUUAUUAAAAUGUUUCAAUACAAGAAAGGAAACGGUCCAACCAAUGGCAAAGAAAGCAGUACAUGGCAAGAAACACGAACCUGAACAUGAGGAACAUGUGUGACAAACACUCUUGGAUAUACUAGUCCAACAUUUUAAAACAUUUUAAUAUUUUAAAAUUAAAAUCAGAAAAUUUAUUUUUUCUAUUUCUUUAAACACUUAUUAGACUAGAUUGAUUUAUUUUCCAAACAAAAAUAAUUUGGAACUUGGCUAAUUUAAUAUUCCUUUCAACAUUUCUAAAUCUAAAUCAGAUUCCUCACAACUGUUUUGGCAAAGCAAACUCCUUGGUAUUUGGUGGACAUUCAACCUCUUCAAAUAAUACUUAUUUAUAAAGCAAAUGGGCUAGUUGUUUGAUAAAUGAAUAGUAAGUAUGAAAUACAAUGACUGAAUAGAAUGCAUUUUCAAACUCGGGAAGAUCAGAACCAAACAUACAAAUAUUAAACAAUAUAAAAUUCAGAAAAUAAUGUGGAAGAAUCAUGUAUUGCUUAUUAUCUUUCUCAGUUCAUUAAAACAUGAUUCAUCAAGAACAAAGUAGGAAGUGAGAACAGCUCCUCAGAAACACGAUUAUCAAUUCAUGUAUCUUAACAUCUGAUUGUAAAAGUUGAGUCAUUCUUUUGGAGAACAUUGAAGAGAGUCUUCAUCUUCUGCUACUCAACGUGUGGUUCACGAACCAGUUACAUUGGCAUCAGAUGGCAGUUUGUUGGAAAUGCUGAAUCUCAGAUCCCGUUCCAUAACCACUAAGUCAGAAUUGCAUUUCAGCAAAUUCCCAGAUAACUUGUGUGCACCUUAAACACACUGGAUAAUCCAAACUACAUAAUACUAUCUUGAUUUUACCUAAACUAAAUCACUUACCAUAUAUACCUGUGCAUAUUUGACUUUUUCUCAGUGAUGUAUCGCAAACUUACCACAUGACAGACCUGUGUUAGGAACUUAAUAAAUAAUUGCUGACUAGUUACUGGAAUAGCUUGCUAGGAUAAUCUGUUCCUUUCAUCCAUUGACUGGUAUUGACUCUAUAUGUAUUUUAUGAUAUAUUUUUACACAGCCACAGAAUUCCUCUGUAUUGUGAAAAGAAAUAUUUAGAAAAUUAGUGGAGAAUACAUGCAGCUAUCAUUUAUUCCUCAUUAUUGCCACUUUUUGAGGCUGAUUUAGAAAUACUUGACUUCUUUGUAGUCUCGGGCAUGCAGUACAAUAAUUAUUUUCAAGUAUUACAUUUGUGUCACAACCCAGGGACCAAAGCUAGGGCAAAUUUAGUAUCAAGUACAAAUGUUUAAGAAUGACUACAAAUACCAAAGAUAAUCUUUUGCAGUUUUCUCAAAUGAAUCAUUGGAUUUAAUUUCCAUUAUAAUAAAUCAUUCAAGUUGAAUAGUGUUACACUUCUUAAAAUAAAGCAAGCCUCUGACCUUUUGACUAUCAAAUGAUUUUAUAUUUAGUAACUUUAAUUAAGGAAAUUAAAUUCAUUUAAGCAAAAUUUUGAAGGAAAAUUGUUCAACUUAAUGACAUUCAAAUCUUACUAAUAUCCAGCCUGGGGAUCGCUGAGAUUCAAUAUCCAAAAGAUACAUUAGCCUAUCUCCUGCCAGUUCAAUGUCAUUACAUAUAACAUAUAAUUUAAGUAUUUUUCACAUCCUCUCCUUUUAUAAUGUCUUGACUAAAAAGGUUUCUGGCAAGUACAACCUUUUUCAUGACUGACCUUCUAAGGCUAGUUAUGUAUAACCAGCAUACAAAUCAAACUGAACAUUGAUUACGAUAUUAAUAUUCUCACAGAGUCAUAUGAAUUCACAAUUCUCCUCCUUCCUAGGUUAGGGGCAGUUCACACAUUCAUCACACUUAUUUUAGGCUUCACAUUUAUUUAGGCUUCCUACGUAUUUGUUGUAAAAACUGACAUCUUAGCUGUUUUCUCAUGGAACCAUAGAAUUUCUGAAUGAAAGAAGUCUAAAGAAAAUCUAGGCAAACACCUUUAUUUUAUAUCAGGAAAUUGUGAUCUAGAGAUAAAACUCAAUGGCAUGUGCCCAACACGUUGUCCGUAGUCAAGCUGAGAUUGAAAGAAAACAAUAACCUACAGAUAAAUAUAAUGCCUUUCCUUUUACAUAUAUGAUGCUUUUAUUAUAAAUAAUUUGAUUGUUGGAUUUCUUCUAAUUAAGUACUUUUUAGUUGUUCCCAUUAUUAUUUUGUUAUACAUUCUGAAUAAAAAUGACAGUCAAGAAGGUUCUGUGUGACCAUUUCAGCCAAGGAAACUGGAGAUAAAGACUAAAGACUCAGACUGGGAGGAUUCCAGAAUGGCAGAGAGAGAAACAUGAAAAUCUCUUCCCAAAAUUUAAUGACAAAACCUGAUGAAGUUAUCAAAACCAGGUCGGUAAAUUGAGGCAAACAACAAACUGAAAGUCCUUUAUUCAAGACACAUCACUGAACUCCAGGUAAGAAUAAUGGGAGGGAGUCUGCAGUUCAUCAGUGGGGGCUUCCUACUCUUAAUCUACCCUCCCCACCAACCUUCACAUUGCAAAAAGCAACAGAAUUUGCUGCUGGAAGGGGCAGACUGAAUAAAAGUGGAACAGAAAAAAAAUCCAUACUCCUGGGCAUUGGAAACUGUAGGAAUAUCAAUGAAGGAUGAAUGGAAAAGGCCAAUGUUGCAGUUAGCACUUCCUUGUUUUCUGGGACCACAGCAUUUUCAAGGCUCAUCUUGCACUUUUCUUUCCUCAACAGAAAGUCAGCCAUUUCUCCAAGGAGCUCUGGGUUCUUCUACGGGAGGGUAAGCCUUUAGAAAACAAAAUCUGGAAGUUAGGUGUGCUCUCUGGUUGUUUGGGUGACAAUGCCAGUCUAGUACCCUUGUCCUAGUCAG